RNAcentral lists this ribosomal RNA (447 nucleotides) under uncultured bacterium. RNAcentral describes it as "partial 16S ribosomal RNA". It matches the Rfam family "Bacterial small subunit ribosomal RNA", at positions 29 to 523 of the family's 1533-position model. The record is from RNAcentral.
AGCGAACGCUGGCGGCAGGCUUAACACAUGCAAGUCGAACGGUCCUUCGGGGUAGUGACGGACGGGUGAGUAACACGUGGGAACGUACCCUUAGGUUCGGAACAACACAGGGAAACUUGUGCUAAUACCGGAUAAGCCCUUCGGGGGAAAGAUUUAUCGCCUUUGGAGCGGCCCGCGUCUGAUUAGCUUGUUGGUGAGGUAAUGGCUCACCAAGGCUACGAUCAGUAGCUGGUCUGAGAGGAUGGCCAGCCACACUGGGACUGAGACACGGCCCAGACUCCUACGGGAGGCAGCAGUGGGGAAUCUUGCGCAAUGGGCGAAAGCCUGACGCAGCCAUGCCGCGUGGAUGAUGAAGGUCUUAGGAUUGUAAAAUCCUUUCACCGGGGACGAUAAUGACGGUACCCGGAGAAGAAGCCCCGGCUAACUUCGUGCCAGCAGCCGCGGUAA